AAUAGUGGCAACAGGUUCUGGAACGUUCUAGGUUCGCCUCCCGCCCUCGCUAGAGUAUCGCAGAGCGCGCGGGGCAGGAAUAGAGUGGCAUGGGGCAAAUCUGAUGAGGCGCCAGAUCAGAGAAUGCAGCCCACAGCAUUGAUGAGGCAAAGAGCUGGCUGCAAAUGUUUCUCCUUCACAGAGGCUAGUGAAGAUUAGAAGGAGAAAGCGAAGGACACGUGAUGACAUGUUUACAGAACUACAGAUGUCCU
Emys orbicularis (European pond turtle) is the source of this 251-nucleotide long non-coding RNA. RefSeq lists it as uncharacterized. The transcript is spliced from 3 exons. The record is from RefSeq and is a predicted model, not a curated record. NCBI's taxonomy places the organism in Eukaryota, Metazoa, Chordata, Testudines, Emydidae.